CACGUAGGGGGCAAGCGUUGUCCGGAUUUAUUGGGCGUAAAGAGCUCGUAGGUGGUUCGGUAAGUCGGGUGUUAAACCCCCAGGCUCAACCUGGGGACGCCACUCGAUACUGCUGUGACUUGAGUCCGGUAGGGGAGCGUGGAAUUCCUGGUGUAGCGGUGAAAUGCGCAGAUAUCAGGAGGAACACCAGCGGCGAAGGCGGCGCUCUGGGCCGGUACUGACACUGAGGAGCGAAAGCGUGGGUAGCAAACAG
RNAcentral lists this ribosomal RNA (253 nucleotides) under uncultured bacterium. Its description in RNAcentral is "partial 16S ribosomal RNA". It matches the Rfam family "Bacterial small subunit ribosomal RNA", at positions 524 to 775 of the family's 1533-position model. The record is from RNAcentral.